This 921-nucleotide ribosomal RNA is filed under the name uncultured archaeon. RNAcentral describes it as "bacterial SSU rRNA". It matches the Rfam family "Archaeal small subunit ribosomal RNA", at positions 1 to 928 of the family's 1478-position model. The record is from RNAcentral.
UUUCCGGUUGAUCCCGCCGGACCUGACUGCUAUCGGAUUGAUACUAAGCCAUGCGAGUCUUUGCAGUAAUGCAAGGCAUACGGCUCAGUAACACGUAGUCAACUUACCCUAUGGACGAGGAUAAUCUCGGGAAACUGAGCAUAAUACUCGAUAGAUCAUAAUGCCUGGAAUGGUUUAUGGUUGAAACGAUUCGUCGCCAUAGGAUGGGACUGCGGCCUAUCAGCUUGUUGGUGAGGUAAUGGCCCACCAAGGCGAUUACAGGUACGGGCUCUGAGAGGAGAAGCCCGGAGAUGGGUACUGAGACAAGGACCCAGGCCCUAUGGGGCGCAGCAGGCGAGAAAACUUUGCAAUGUGCGAAAGCACGACAAGGUUAAUCCGAGUGAUUUCUGCUAAAGAAAUCUUUUGCAAGUCAUAAAACCACUAGUGAAUAAGGGGUGGGCAAGUUCUGGUGUCAGCCGCCGCGGUAAAACCAGCACCUCAAGUGGUCAGGAGGAUUAUUGGGCCUAAAGCAUCCGUAGCCGGCUCUGUAAGUUUUCGGUUAAAUCCAUGUGCUCAACGCAUGGGCUGCCGAAAAUACUGCAUAGCUAGGGAGUGGGAGAGGUAGACGGUACUCGGUAGGAAGGGGUAAAAUCCUUUGAUCUAUCGAUGACCACCUGUGGCGAAGGCGGUCUACCAGAACACGUUCGACGGUGAGGGAUGAAAGCUGGGGGAGCAAACCGGAUUAGAUACCCGGGUAGUCCCAGCUGUAAACGAUGCAGACUCGAUGAUGCAUUGGCAUAUAGCCAGUGCAGUGUCGCAGGGAAGCCGUUAAGUCUGCCGCCUGGGAAGUACGUACGCAAGUAUGAAACUUAAAGGAAUUGGCGGGGGAGCACCACAAGGGGUGAAGCCUGCGGUUCAAUUGGAGUCAACGCCGGGAAGGGC